Molecule: ribosomal RNA, 494 nt
Filed under: uncultured bacterium
Lineage: Bacteria
Description: partial 16S ribosomal RNA
Rfam family: Bacterial small subunit ribosomal RNA
Source: RNAcentral
GACGAACGCUGGCGGCGUGCCUAAUACAUGCAAGUCGAACGGACAGGCCUGCUUUCCCUUGUGGUUUUCGGGUACUCGAGCGGCGAACGGGUGAGUAACUCGCCAGUCAAUUGCCCCCAACUUGGGUAUAAGCCCGGGAAAUUAGGUCUAAUUCCCGUUUGGACCGCAGGGUGGUGCCGGUUGUGGCAAACGUUUUUUUACUGGUUGGGGAUGCGCUCGCGGCCUAUCAGCUUGUUGGUGGGGUAAUGGCCUACCAAGGCGGCGACGGGUAGCCGGCCUGAGAGGGUGGACGGCCACAUUGGGACUGAGAUACGGCCCAGACUCCUACGGGAGGCAGCAGUGGGGAAUAUUGCACAAUGGGCGGAAGCCUGAUGCAGCGACGCCGCGUGGGGGAUGACGGCCUUCGGGUUGUAAACUCCUUUCGACCGCGAGGAAGCCACCUGGUUGGAAGGGUGGUGACGGUAGUGGUAGAAGAAGCACCGGCUAACUACGUG